This 68-nucleotide transfer RNA is filed under the name Marmota monax (woodchuck). RNAcentral describes it as "tRNA.Ala". The record is from RNAcentral. Lineage: Eukaryota; Metazoa; Chordata; Mammalia; Rodentia; Sciuridae.
GUUGUGGCUCAGUGGUAGAGUGCUCGCCUAGCAUGUGCAAGGCCCUGGGUUCGAUCCUCAGCACCACA